Long non-coding RNA from Numida meleagris (helmeted guineafowl), 9260 nucleotides. RefSeq lists it as uncharacterized. The record is from RefSeq and is a predicted model, not a curated record. NCBI's taxonomy places the organism in Eukaryota, Metazoa, Chordata, Aves, Galliformes, Numididae. The transcript is spliced from 6 exons.
GGUCCCCUAUCCUAUAACUCAUUUCAACAACCAGAAGGCAAUGCCCAGGUGCCUGUUGAACCCUGAACACUGAGCAUUUCCCCCUCUGCCUGCAGAGGCUAGUUUCAAGCCAGCAAGUACAUUUCCAGGAAAAACAUCUUUAUUAAUGUAACCACCGUCCUGUGGCCUCUUUUCUGAAGCUUGCUGCUGAGUUUUUCAAGAGCUAUAAACAUCCAGAUGUCUCCCAUCUCAACCGAGAGAGCUUCCUGAAGAACUUUCCUAGCUUGCACUUUUGUGGUUCAUAACUGUGACAUGAAACAUCUUUUGGUGGAAAAGUAAGUCCCUUCAUGUGACCAGCAGGCCAAUACUCUGUGGAUCAUUAGGCAGCCCAGCAUAGGAGCAUUGUUUUGAGGAGCACAGUGGAGGGUACGGUAGUGGACACUUGUGAUCUGGCACAUCCUAAAUACUGAAUACUUGGAUAAUUUAUGCUUAUGCAUACAUUCCUUGGUGAGAGGACAAAACAAAUCUGGUAAUGUUUCUCUUAAGCAAGUCUCAACAAAAUCAUAGCUCUUGCUUGACAAGUAAUGAGGCUGCUGUUUUUUCUUCUUUUUUGAAGGUUUGUUACGAAUUUUUGUAUCUUGGGUUACUGCCCUGGGGAAUGGAAUAUAAUUUGAGUGACUGAACAUACUGUCUUUAUUUUGACUUCCAGCAGGGUUGGGUCUAACAAACAAAGAAGCUUCCAUGUGAGCAGCCCAGAAAAGGGUAGCCUUUUUCAUCCAAGUGAAUUGUGCAGCGGGAAGGAGAUCUACAAACAAUUAAAAACCCUGGUGAUGACUGCAAGCUGCACUUUCUUAUUAUGGUGAUGGUUUGUGUGCUCCCUUAAUCUUUUCAUGGAAGGCUUUCUCAUACAGCACAGAAAUCCUCGCCUGUAGCAGAAAGGUCAUACAAGUGAAGAUGAGGAAGACCCUGGAAAGCUUCAGCAUGGGUGAGCCAUCAGAGCAACCUAUGUGGAAGGGCAAGGGGUCUGUGAAGGGUAACUGGACACUCAGGCCACCACACGUGAAUUCCCCCCUGGAGGGGUGUGACAGACACAGAGGGAGAGCUCCAUUCUUGUUGCAGUCACUCUGAGGGAGAGUUUCCCAACUUCCCUCCUCCAGCUUCACACCAAGACCAGAAGAUGCAGGACCCCAGUAGACCAAGCAUCUCCAGCAACCUCGUGGCUGCAGAUACUUCUGGAACUGAUGGCUGAUAUUAACAAAUAUUUAGGAGAUUAAAAAAAACCCUCUGUGUAUAAACUUGGAGCUCAGUGAGGUAAAUGGGGAAGAUGGAAUUCACAAACAUAGCUGCAAAUCCCAUCAACAGUUAAAGACAACAGGUCUGAAACGCUCCUCAAUGUGUCUGAAGCAGACUGCACAAACACAAAACAGUCACAAAAUGACAUUUGCAACUUAGAGGCAAGAAUACUUACAGAAAUUAUUCCAUUUGAGCAAAUUCGCCUUUGCCAGAAAGACCCUACUGAGUCACUUGAAACUUCAUGUCUGACAAGGGAGAGGGAAAACCAGCGAAGCAUAGCCCCAGGUAACCAGAAUCUCUUGGUCAAGUGCAAGAGCUGGGUUGUGACAACAAAAGGGGCUGUUACGUGGCAACUGAUGAAAAGCAGGAGCAUGUUUGGCUUACAGCAGCACUAAAGUAAACAGGAUCUAGGCUGCUGGCACUGCCCCAGGUAACUGCUGCUCCUUGUCUGGUGUCACCUCUCGAGCUGCCAUAAGGGAGCUGUUGUUCCUGAGGAUCCUGUUGCCCACCCCAUGGGGAUGGCCUGGCUUUUGUCUUGUGGUUCUUUGAUGUGCAACCCCAUUUGGCCAUGGCAUCACAGCACAUUUUGGCUGUAACACCACACCUGAUGGAGGGCACACCCACAACUGCUCACGGAUUCCCCAGUCUGGAGAUAAGUGUUGAAGCCCAGAUUCACUGAGUGACGGAAGUCGUUCUCCAUCACCAUCCCUUCCUCAUCACUGCACAUCUCUUCAUCAUUUAUUCAUGUUGCGAGAAAUAAUUUUUUAUAUACUUCUCAACUGAAACUGGCACAUUCCACAUACUAUUUUCGUCACCACUUUAAUAGAUGAUGCUUCAUGCCUUUUGAGCUUUCAUAAAGGUAAAUACAUUUCUUAUGUAUGGGGUAGCAUACAGAACAGACAAAUAACCAGCUUAUAUUCAGUUAUUGUCGCGUGACUGAACGAAUAACCAGAGAAAUCAAUCAUGGCAGGAAAUAAAUGAAUGAAAUGGAACUUACAGGAAGAGCUACAUCCAAACUGCCGAGCAGACGGAGAGUGUGGCAUGGCUCUGCUUUCCAGACACCUGCCAUGAGGUGCUCUGAGGGGCACCUGAAGCCAGUCCAAGUAUGGCAGCUCACAUUUGGAGGUUCAGAGAGAUUUGGGUCCAAGGUUUUGAUACACUACCUCAAAAAUCACUUCUCAGUUGCUGAUUUUCAUACCCCAGUGCAUGCUCAGAUUUCUGAAGCUCGUUCUGCUCAUGUAUAGUUCAAGGUGUUGAAAUUACUUGCAACCUCAUUGUCCAUUAUAAAGUAUUUUGCUUAUAUUCAUUCAAUAGCAAAAACAUAUGAUAGUUCUAUAUGCCUCUCAUCUGACAGCUCUUUUGCCAAAUGCAGAUUGGCAGACCAAGAUCUUGGCUUAGGAAAACUUCCCAUCUGAUUAAAACAAUGGUCACCGUCUCUUCAGCUGCUUCUGUUAUGAACAAUGUUUUGAGAAUGUGUCUCUGUUCCUGUUUAUGUAGCUAUACAAAUGCAUGGAAGCCAUGAGUUAACGUGUGAUAUGUCAUAGAGCCUGUUGUCAAAGGAUGCUUCUUUUCUGGUCUUUUGGGGAAAUGAGUCUCGUGUACAUGAGAACACCUUCUUAGUCAGACAAAGAGGAAGCUGCCAUGCAUGUGGUGUUCUGCAGGAUUUCAUGUAGCGCAGGUCUGCUUCUCAAUAUAGCACUUCCUUCAGACUUCUCCGGACAGUGGGAUGUGAGCGUCUCCAUUUUGAUAUACAGCAAAAUGCUGUGUGAGUUUGUCAAGAAAAAGUAAGGACAAGGAAAAAAAAAUCCUAGGAAAUGGCUGCAAUAUAGUCUUGUUUGCACUGGUAAAUUAAACAGCAGCAGGCCAUGGGCUUCAGCACUGCUCCUCCAGGUACCCAUGCAGCCUAUUGGUAGCAUUUUCCAUAAAGAUGUUUGGCCAAGUCAAUCCCCUACACAGUGGCUGGAUACAGUUCAGAGGUUGGAAUGUGCAGGGACAAUCCCAGCGGAAAUUUGGACUUGGCAACACUGGGGAUUUUUGAAAAGCGGAAGGAGAGGUCAUGGUAUUCAGCUGCCUGGAUAUGAACCCUACCACUUUGCUUCCAAGCUGGAACCAGUCCCUUCUCCAUUUUGUGUUAAGUACAGACAUAGCUUAAGGACCUAAAACUUUUGAGAUUUGUAUUCCUAGCCCUUAGAGAGAUUUUUCUUUUAUGAUAUGCAGCUUGUCAUUGGGUUUUCACUAAUUGAGAACCCUGUUUACAGAAAGUUGUCUUCUGUCAGUUUAGUGCUCAAGGACGAUCGUGCAUUUGUGAAUGCACUGAAAAUUCUAAGAAAAAAGCACAAAAUGUUAGCUUGCUCUUCCAGUCUUAAAGAUGUUAAAAGUAAGUCAAGUCUGAAAGCUGUACAUACAGCAUUUGAUUUACUGGGUAAUGAAAGUAACAGCUUCCUGUGGGGUUCCCUAGCAACCCCCAGUGACAGACAGGAUUUGGACAAGGUGGCAGUGAAGGUAAUUUCUGGGGAUGGUCCAGACCAGUGAGGGAGAGGGAUUAAGAUCCAGGUGCUCAAUUUCCCUGCUCCCUCCUUGCCACCAGAGACACCACAGCCAUGGAGAAUCCUUGCCCUAGUUUCUCACUCAAUAACUUCCGUGCUGUCACCAACGAAGACCAAGUCUUGAAACUCUUGUUUGUUUGUUUGUUUUUUUGCUCUGUUAUUAUUUUCAUUUUAAGCCCUCCUCGGUGACAGAAAUAAAGUCCCUGGUUCAAAGAGUUCACUGAAAGAAUGAAGAGGCAAUACAGAAACUAGGAGGAAAUUGAUGAAUUGAGAGGAAGGAGAAGAAUGUCCCGCAGCCCUUCGGUUAUGUCCUCUUGACAGCUCUCCUGCAUUCUUACAUACAGAUGGCCAUCAUGGACAUCGUAAGAAUCUGGUGUAUUAUUACCACCGUAUUACUGCAAUAGCUGUCAGACCCAUGAAAGGUGUGAGUUUCAGAGAGGAGAGGAUAAGAAUACAAAAAGCUUUUUCAUGCUUGGAGUGCUGCAAAAUGGAUGGCAGCAGAAUGAGAGUGGGAAACAAAAUGAAAAGAUGCCAGUGGCUUUAUUUGGAUGAAGUGCUGGAAAGGGGAGACCAGAAGCAUAUUUUCAGGAGCAGGGAUGCAUAGGGUCUUGAUAGAGAAAUUGAGAUGUUUGAUUGUUUAAGCUGUGUGCUGGAAGGAACACAGGGUGGGAACAAGAGGAGGCAGACAUGUGGUGCAUUCAGUCUAAUGGAAUCUAUUCCUUCUCCAGAGGGGGGUUAGCAACUGAGAAAUUAUUUUGAUCCAAAUGUGUAUGUUCCUUUCUUUCUAUCGAAUAUGCUGCUGAAAAAUCCCACUGUCUACAGGAUUAUUAAGAUUUCCUUCUUGCAGCUUCAUUUAUAUUUGCUGUAAGUCUCUGUCCCUGUUGCACAGUUCAGUCUCACACAACUAAUCUUGGUGCUGCUCCAAAGAGAGCCAAAAUCAUGAAUUUAAAGGUGAGAUGGCAGCAUCACAGCUUGUAUCCUAUUGUAAAUGGCUCCUAUCUGACCAGCCGAAAGGCUGCGUCUACCAUCAUCCAGCAUGCCACUUCACAGGAUGGGGCAUGUCAGGCAGGCAUAUGUCACACAUGUCCUGAUGGGUCCUGAUGGGCAGCAUGCUGCCCUACAAUAGCCCAGCAUCCCAGUGUCUCCAUGCCCUGGGACCUCUCAUGUCAGCCUUCUCUCCUAAUCACGUGCUAUCCCUUGCAUCAAGCAAAAAGAAAGUUGACAGCACAGAGGAAACAGGAAAACUUUCAGGCUUCUACUUCCUCCACUGAAUUAAUCAUCUCUGACAGUUUUGUGGCUUCCUAUGACCCUUAAGUUUUACUGUCUGCUAGCACAUCAGGCACUGAUUUCCCUCUUUCUUUCCCCUACAGCAAAAAUUACAAUGAUUUUUCUCAAAGCUGACAGGGACAGGGCUUAUUUCCAGUAAAAGGGCACCAUACUUAGCUACACAGGGUAAGUGAGGUUAGAGAAAUAGGUACAUGGGAAUAAUGACAGCACCGAGGGCAGCAGACUUUCAAUUCACUUAUACAGAUAAAUGUAACAAGUUCAGACACUAACAUUUUUUUUUUCGUUGCUCAAAAGAAAAAAAAUAAUUCACUACUUGCUCUGUUUUCUCUCUGUGAGCACUCUCCUAUUCUUCUUAACCUCUGCACUGCAGUGCGGCUAGGCUGUGGACAUGCAGAUACGCUCCCUGCCCUGGGGAAGAUCUGAGAUAAGCAGAGAAGCGACACACAAAUGGCAAGGAGGAGAGAGCGAUCUAAUCGAUUGGCCACGAGCUUGGUACAGUGAGAUGGGAAAAGCACACAGAGCAAAGGAAAGCAGGUUUCCACUGGGAGACAUGUGCUGCUCUCCCCCUCCUUCUGUUCGCCCUUGGCUUUUCACUCCCUUCUCCUUUGAGCCUUCUCUGUGCUUCCCAGGCUGAGAUGGUGCUCAGGGAUUGCUAACAUGGGGCCUGUGCAGGUUUGGGCUGGUUUGCCUGCUUUCUUGUUUAGUUUGCUGCCUGUCUCUGCCUCUCCUUGUCGACCUCAGCUAGGCACACAAUGCUGGCUGCUCCUUGCUGAAAUUGGCUCCCCUUCUGUUUCUCUGUCUGUUGAAUACCUAACACCUGAUGAUUGUCUUUGGAGUUUGACAUUUUCAAAUAGCUUCCAUAUUGCACACAAAGAUGAAAAAAAAUUGGCCUUUUUCCCCCCCUCCAUCUCUCCUUUUCUCACCCUUGCCAGGUGCCAAAUCUGAAUGCCGCAAUAACAAAGCAUUUCCUGCACUCACUCCCACUUUGCUGCACUGCACAUCUGCAGGUGGGGUGAGAGAAUGCAGAGCUAGAAGUAACUCCCCAUGCUGAAACACUUUGAUUUCAUACUUCAGAUUCCACCCAGACCUCUGUUUUUCAAGCUCCUUUUUUUAAAACAAUGAAGUUGAAGAAGAAAGCUGAGUGCCUUUGUUUCUGGACAAGCUAGAAAUCCAGAGAUGAGGCCAAAUCCGCCUGAUGACACUGUGCAGUCACAGCAGCAAUGCGGUUUUGGAAGUGUGAGCCAGUGGGAAGCCAGGAACUUGGCUGCGCAUAUCCACUCCUCUGAGCCCUGUCUCCAUCUCCACUUCUCACCACCAGACCCGAGGAGAGCUGUCAGACUGCAGAUCCCCACUUCACACCUCUCUGAGACAAGAGCUGGGACAGGGCACCGAGCUGCAUGCCCAUCCCUGGCUCCCACCCAGAUUGCUGUGCAUGGUUGGGUGAGUUCUCAGACCCUCCAGCACCCUGCGCUUAACACAGCUCAUGCCUUGUCUCUCAGGACUUCUCUGCAGCAGCUCUAACUUCUUCAGUCUGUAUUCAUCCUACUUAACUUCAUGCAUGUAACUGAAGUGGCUGGUAAAUGGCUCGUCCCUCUUAGUGUCUCCAUUUGUGGUCACUGGAAGUCCAUACCACCUGCUGUAAAGGUGUGGGGUCUGGGGCAUGUAUGGUACAAAAAGAAAAAAAAUAUAUAUAUAUAUUAGCAAUAGUGACUUCAGAUUUGGACUGCCUUCAAACAGAUGUGAGAAAUGUGAUGGUGAUGGCUUCAUAUCUGUCUGCUGGGAGGACUUUUUAUCCACAAUGAAGCUCUUCCCAACCACAAUUUAAUUGCAAUAAACUGUAUAUUCUCCGAGUUCUCAGAGAAGAAGAUGGAUCUGUUUGUGGCUGUGCAGAGAUAAUUCUUGACACCACAUUGCACUAAAAGCAUUGUUUACCUUCCCAGGGCACGGAUAAUAAAGGAUAAAGAUUUUUAAAGCAACUUGUGAAGAGGCUGCUUCUAAACCAUCCAGCCUCAUUAAUUUAAACCCAGAAAGCUUGAAAAGGCCAUCUUCAGUGACUCAGCUCAAAAACCCAGAGAUUUUAGCCAAGGAAAGAUCCUGGAGAGGUCAGUGGGCUUCAAGCUGAGGCUAGGCCUCAGGGCUAAAAGCAGGCCGAGGUGCUUUGGCAGGAUGAAGCCCUCCUGCCAGGCCCAACCAAGUGACCUGAUUUUUUUGCAGGUCUCUGCAGGGGAAAUGUGUGCUCUUGCAGCUCAUCCCCUCCCUCCCAUUACAUUAAUUCCAGGGCUCUCACAUCAUACUUCACAAGGAAAGGAUUUUGCCGCACUGCUGAGAGCUUAGGAAGCCAAACCUCACAGCCUGGGCAGGAGCAGGGCAACAGCCAUGGCUGGUGCCAGGCAGUGACACUCCUUGGUUGUUGCUUUUCCCACACAGCUGGCUGAAGACAGGAGUAGAUUGCAGGAAAUCUUGUCCUAUACCCAGCUCUGGCCUUGCUAUGCAAAUGCGUGCUCAUUACCUGAUUUCCAUUCUCCACAACUUCCUCCUCUGUAAUGUGCAGUUAAUAUUUAUACAUACUUAAUGAUUGCAGAUUUUGUGUGUACACACUUCGCUGCGGUUCUGCAGAUUAGUUAACCAAAGUACGGCCAGAUUCUGCCAUGCCUACAGAUGGGUAUGGCUGCAAAUAGGGUUGCAACUUACCCAGUGCAGAGGGCUUGGGGAAUGAAGAUUAAGCUGAAUUUUUGAACAAAGUCUUCAGUGCCACAAAAAUGUAUAAUCCAGAGUAUAUUAAUUCAGAGCAGGAGAUUUGAUAAAACAAAACGUCACAGUAAAAUACAGAAUGGGCAUGCUCACAGGAGAGCGAGCACCCCAGAAGGGGAUAAGCAUAGCAAGCCAUGUCCCUGAUGUGUCCCUGAUGAUCACGCUGUUUGCAUGGCUGUGUUCAUUCAGUGAACUGAAUAUCAUGUAAGGAUGCACUUAGGGAAAAUUCAGUGCUGGGUAAAAAUCUGCCGGCAGCUAAGAUACCGUCUGAUUCUUAACGGAAAAUAAUCAAUUAUUCAUAGGAAAUAGGAAAUGCCUACUUUUUCCACGAGCCUUAUUUCUGGCAGGGCCCUGCAGAGCCCCCUUUGACCACCAGAGGUCAGAAGCAAAACAUCGCAGCCCCACCACUGAGCCCUGAUUUCCUCAAUCGCUGUCCUGGAGAGGGAGAAGCAGAAGAAUCAGCAAAAAUACCGCUUCAUUCACAGUGAGGAGGAUGGAGACAGUAAUACGAAGGACCCCAGGCGAUGAAGACGGAAGGUGGCAAGGAAUGCACACAGAGCCUAAAAGCCCCAUCAAAACCUGUGUGGAUAUUCAAAAAAGGAACUUGCAGCUUUCCUGAAAUUGUGCUUUUACCAUUUGCAAACACAUUUCUGGAAUACUAAAAAAGCAUCUGAGCAUAAUGAGCAAACAACAGAGUGAAUUUUCCCAGCCAUAAAGCCUGGAUCAGCUCAUGGGCAAGAAAUAGGACCACGUGAUCUCACUGACCAGCCGUAAGGCAGGAAAAUCGGAAAGGCUGCAGAAAGCUCAGGGUGGAAAUCGGCUCAGAUAUAUCCACACUGUAAAUCUUUAAACAGUUGUUUAAGCCAAGAGCUGUAAACUCUGUGCAGGUCAUUUGUAGAAGGAAAUGUGCUUUAUCGGACAAAUUACUCAUGGCAUAACUUGACCUCCUCUCUUUGCCUCUUGGAGCACAGUUGUGGGCUGUGUGUGUUGGAAAAGAAAGGACUAGGGAUGGCAAAACAAUAUGAUCUUUUUUUUUUUUUAUAAUUCAGAAAACGUCAAACCAAGCAACUGUGCUGCAGAGAAAGCACCCUGGCUCUGCUGCAAAGCACCGACAUGUUCUGGCUGGAGCUCCGUGCACUGUCACUUACUGGUGGCCAGGAUUAGUCAUCUCCUGUGAGGAACACACGAGAAAUGGUGUUAGACAAAAAAAGAAUGACACUAAUGAGCCAGAAUGUCCCAAUUCCCUCUGCAGUUUUACAGCUCUAUAACACACAUGCUUUCACUAUGAGUAUAGAGGAAUAAUUAUAUUCAUAUUUUGCAGAAACAGUUGCUCUAAGAAAGUUCCAUAGCCUGUUUUUACUGAGACAUAAGGCUCUUGAAUAAAAUUAGGUUUAUUUCUCAAAA